RNAcentral lists this long non-coding RNA (505 nucleotides) under Rattus norvegicus (Norway rat). RNAcentral describes it as "long non-coding RNA NONRATT005786". Lineage: Eukaryota; Metazoa; Chordata; Mammalia; Rodentia; Muridae. The record is from RNAcentral.
GAGUGCUGGAGUGAAAGGCAGGAGCCACACCCCCAGCCUGAUUAUACUGUUAGCUUGGGUUUAUUAUCGUCAAAGAAUAUGCUGGCUUUCCAAAAAACAUCAAGAGUUCAUAAAUUCUCCAGAAGAUUCUGCAAUGCACCAACCACCCCUGUGGCAUGUUCUGAAGUCUCAGGCUUUGCUGGAAGUGGAGACAUUAAUGCAACCAGUAAAAACCUCCCAAAGGCAACAUACCUCAGACCACUCAACUCGGAACCUGUGAACUGUUGUGUUAUUAAAGUGGGGCUGGAGAGAUGGCUCAGUGGUUAAGAGCACUGACUGCUCUUCCAGAGGUCCUCAGUUCAAUUCCCAGCAACCACACGGUGGCUCUCAACCAUCUGUAAUGGGAUCAGAUGUCCUCUUCUGGUGUGUCUGAAGACAGCUACAGUGUACUCAUAUAUAAGUGAAUGGAUCUUUGAAGAAAAGAAAAAAAAUAAAGUUGUCCCAGGUGACGUCAACAUUUAACCUG